UACGAAGGGGCUAGCGUUGCUCGGAAUCACUGGGCGUAAAGGGUGCGUAGGCGGGUCUUUAAGUCAGGGGGGAAAUCCUGGAGCUCAACUCCAGAACUGCCUUUGAUACUGAGGAUCUUGAGUUCGGGAGAGGUGAGUGGAACUGCGAGUGUAGAGGUGAAAUUCGUAGAUAUUCGCAAGAACACCAGUGGCGAAGGCGGCUCACUGGCCCGAUACUGACGCUGAGGCACGAAAGCGUGGGGAGCAAACAGG
RNAcentral lists this ribosomal RNA (252 nucleotides) under uncultured bacterium. RNAcentral's name for it is "partial 16S ribosomal RNA". It matches the Rfam family "Bacterial small subunit ribosomal RNA", at positions 524 to 776 of the family's 1533-position model. The record is from RNAcentral.